Molecule: ribosomal RNA, 253 nt
Filed under: uncultured bacterium
Lineage: Bacteria
Description: partial 16S ribosomal RNA
Rfam family: Bacterial small subunit ribosomal RNA
Source: RNAcentral
UACGUAGGGGGCAAGCGUUGUCCGGAUUCAUUGGGCGUAAAGAGCGUGUAGGCGGCCAGGUAGGUCGGUUGUGAAAACUGGAGGCUCAACCUUCAGACGUCGACCGAAACCAUCUGGCUAGAGUCCGGGAGAGGAGAGUGGAAUUCCCGGUGUAGCGGUGAAAUGCGCAGAUAUCAGGAGGAACACCGGUGGCGAAGGCGGGUCUCUGGGCCGAUACUGACGCUGAGGAGCGAAAGCAUGGGUAGCGAACAGG